GUAGCAGGGCUGCACUUGGGGUCAGGGAAGACCUUCUCGACCAGUAACAUGUAAGCUGAGGGACAAGUUACAGCUGGAUGAAAAUUAUUUCAGGCAGAGGAUACCUCCUCAAAAACCAAGGGAUGAAAUAGAACACAAAUACAGUGAGGUAUUACAAGACAUUUGAAAUGGAUAGAGCACAGUAAAUGAGGGGUGAAAAGGAUGUGACAGCUCAGGCUGUAGUCACAGGAAGAAACAACGUUUGGGGCUUUUGCUUCUUGUGCAAGACCAUUCCAGCAGCAGUGUGGAGAAGAGUGUCAGCACGAACAGAGACCUGGAGACCAGCUAGGAGGCUGCUGCCAGCUUUUCAGAGAGAGCUUAAUAAGGGCCAUUUUUGUACCAUUACUUAAGAGAAAGUGGCUGAAUGGUGAGUGCUCUGAAUAGGACAACCAUGAAGAUUAAGGAAUGUGAAAGCAUGUCAUCCAUUGCAACAUGUUUGAGCACAAAGCAUGGGCAAGGCACUCUGCUAGGUGAUGAAGACAUCAUGAACAAGACAGACCCAGUUCAGUCCUCAAGAAAUCAUAUGUGGAUCACUUUAAAGAAAGUGGGGCCUGGAGAAGAGGCAGGUUGCUCCCUCUUGAUGGCAAACACGGCUGCCAGGGUCCAGAGUUCUCACCUUUAGUCAAUCUUAGAUGGAAAAGAACUUCUCCUUCCUCACAGUCACCAGAAUGGAUCUAAUUAACUCGACUGGGUGAAGAGGCUAUUUUUGAACCAAUCACCAACCAAGUAUUUAGACUGUAUCAUUAGCCAGGUCUGGGUCAUGGACAUGUAAUCAGGGCAGGUGAUGAGGUUAUGGGAUUAGAGCUCUUUUACCAACAUAAUUCUAUUACAUUAUGUUUUAAUGCUCACUGAGUAAUCUGUAAGCAUUAAAUCACAGUAAUCACUAAGCCACCUGUAAAUAAAUUCUCAUGUUUUCUUGUCUUGUGCCCUAACUCCACUGUGGUAAGGAUAUCGUCUUAAACACAAAGAAAAAAUGCACAUAAAUGUAGGACGACUAUUGUCAAGCUAAUAUCCACUCAGUACAACCAAUCAUUACAGUUGGGGAGAUAAUAUAGCUUCUCACACGUGAGACUAAGGAUCAGAAUUGGCUAUUAGUUCUGAGAGUACCUAAGACGUUAAGAAAAAAAGAGAUUGAAGCAGACCAUAAAUUAAGAGAAUAUCACUGUACAUCUCAAUGAUUUACAAACUUUGAGUCAUGAUUUAUUUUGGGGCCGUGAAAUCAAUUUAGAGAAUCAUGACAAAUUUAAGAAAAGGAAAUAGAGUAGAAAACAGGAAAGUGCAGCACAUAUGGUGAAAUUAAGAACUGUUUCAUAAAACUUUGGUUACAGUUUAUGUGUGGGCAUGCACAUGCACGGGCAUGCUCUGAGUCACAAGGUAAAAUAUAUUUGACCACAGUUGGAGUUAGUUGAAAUCACUCUCAUCAUUGGUAUAAUUGUAGCUAGUACCUAAAAUGUGAAAGAGGAAAGUCCAUUUAACAUAAUCUGCCCCGAGUAUGAGUCACCACUGUAUGAGCACCUCCUCAACAUUCAAGUCGCAUGAAGCCUGAGAGGGUCAAUGACUUGCAUUGUGCUGGAAUCACCUGGUUUAGAUUUACAACAAUUCUUACCAGGUUUGGAAUAAAUCUCACAGAUCUCCAUGUGUUUUCAUUGCCGGUUUGCUAAAUGUCCUUGGUAAAAUAUUGGAGUUGCCAAGGAACACUGGUCAAGGUAUGUCACCUUACCAUCAAAAUAAACACAAUUUUUAUUUCUCAACUAGGAGUAGUGUCCAGAUACGUGAAAAAUUCAAGCAAAUUUUGAACUGGCUGAAAUGUCUUUAUUAAAUGUUUUACACAUUGUCUAAUAUCAAAUUAUGUUCUCUCUGAUCAUUUCUUUCAGCGACUUGUUGAUUUAAUGUGAAUACACAGAAAUGGAGUAUAGCUCUUAUGGACCCUGAAGGGAUCAAGCUGUCUAAACAGACCCCUUUCUACCUCAUCAGUGCAUUUAUGCCAGCUCCCUAGGAGGCCUCUCAUAAUCAUCAUUUCCCUCUCCCACUCUAAUAAGCAUCUAUUUUUUUUCAAUCUGUUGCAAACUUCUACAUACACAAGCACAUUAUCCCAUCUCACCACCAGCUUCGCACUUAAAAUUGCCUCCCCUUCCCCAUACAAAACUUUGUAGCUGCCUCUUUCUUAUUUCUUCAUAAUCCUGGUAACUCACUGGAGAACCAGAUCUGCCUUUCUGCAGUUUCUGGCACCCUUCAAAAUACCUUUCAGAUAAUAAAUAAAGUUGAAAUGGGUCAAUGCUCCUUUCCACCAUCUGCUCAAGGAAUGAUUUCCAAAU
Molecule: RNA transcript, 2354 nt
Organism: Ailuropoda melanoleuca (giant panda)
Lineage: Eukaryota; Metazoa; Chordata; Mammalia; Carnivora; Ursidae
Exons: 3
Source: RefSeq, a predicted model, not a curated record